This 519-nucleotide ribosomal RNA is filed under the name uncultured bacterium. Its description in RNAcentral is "bacterial SSU rRNA". It matches the Rfam family "Bacterial small subunit ribosomal RNA", at positions 1 to 527 of the family's 1533-position model. The record is from RNAcentral.
UAGAGUUUGAUCAUGGCUCAGAUUGAACGCUGGCGGCAGGCCUAACACAUGCAAGUCGAGCGCGAAAGUCUUCGGAUGAGUAAAGCGGCGAACGGGUGAGUAACGCGUGGGAAUCUGCCUAGUAGUGGGGGACAACAGCCGGAAACGGCUGCUAAUACCGCAUACGCCCUACGGGGGAAAGGGGGGGAUCUUCGGACCUCUCGCUAUUAGAUGAGCCCGCGUCGGAUUAGCUAGUUGGUAGGGUAAAGGCCUACCAAGGCUACGAUCCGUAACUGGUCUGAGAGGAUGAUCAGUCACACUGGAACUGAGACACGGUCCAGACUCCUACGGGAGGCAGCAGUGGGGAAUAUUGGACAAUGGGGGCAACCCUGAUCCAGCCAUGCCGCGUGUGUGAAGAAGGCCCUUGGGUUGUAAAGCACUUUCAGUGGGGAGAAAAAUCUGGAACUUAAUACGUUUUGGAAUUGAUGUUACCCACAGAAGAAGCACCGGCUAACUCCGUGCCAGCAGCCGCGGUAACCG